GACGAACGCUGGCGGCGUGCUUAACACAUGCAAGUCGAACGGAAAGGCCCUGCUUGCAGGGUGCUCGAGUGGCGUACGGGUGAGUAACACGUGGGUGAUCUGCCCCUUACUUUGGGAUAAGCCUGGGAAACUGGGUCUAAUGCUGGAUAGGACCAUGCUGUAGGUGGUGUGGUGGAAAGAUUAGUUUCGGUAGGGGAUGAGCUCGCGGCCUAUCAGCUUGUUGGUGGGGUAAUGGCCUACCAAGGCGUCGACGGGUAGCCGGCCUGAGAGGGUGGACGGCCACAUUGGGACUGAGAUACGGCCCAGACUCCUACGGGAGGCAGCAGUGGGGAAUAUUGCACAAUGGGCGCAGGCCUGAUGCAGCGACGCCGCGUGGGGGAUGACGGCCUUCGGGUUGUAAACUCCUUUCAGCCAUGACGAAGCCCUUGUGGUGACGGUAGUGGUAGAAGAAGCACCGGCUAACUACGUG
Molecule: ribosomal RNA, 469 nt
Filed under: uncultured bacterium
Lineage: Bacteria
Description: partial 16S ribosomal RNA
Rfam family: Bacterial small subunit ribosomal RNA
Source: RNAcentral